AUCCGCCGGAAGGAGGGCGCAGCAUUGCCGGUCUUCUCAUUGCCUGGCUGCUAGAGGAAACCCGAAGUCGGGAUUCUUUCUUUCCUGCUCUGAGAGGGACCAGGUCCCUCCUCCGUAGCUUUUGUCUCUCUAUUGCCUGCGCCGUGUCCUGGACUGCUCACGGGAGUUCUGCAGGAGACGCCGGAAUAUCUGGAAGCUGAAAAAUGGAAAUAAAUGGAAAGACCAGAAUAUUGAAGAUCACUACAGAAAUCUAAGGAGUUUCCACAUAGCCACUGACCCACCUUCAUGUUAAAACAGACAUCAGCCAACUGGAAACACAGACUCUCUGUGACAAUAAGAAACCAAAUUACAAACAAGACCUAAGGCCAUGCAAGGCAAGAGGUGACUCCCACGACCAGUGCGGGUCACAGCACAGGCGACAGAAGCUAUGGCAGAGGCACCUGAACCCUCUCGGAGGGGAAAGCCAGGCUCCCAACCUCAGCUCGCCGCCUGGAGCCGGGAACCGAGGAGAGCAGGGCCUUCGCCCUCCCCGAUGGACACUCGGCAGGCCCCGCCCAGCGCCCCUGAUUGGACGAAGCGCCGGGCCCCGCCCCCUCAGCCUUUUGAGUCAGGGUCUCACCCUGUGGCCCAGGCUGCCCUCCAGUGAUGCCAUCAUGACUCAGUGCAACCUCAAACUCCCAGGUUCAAGCGAUCUUCCAUCCUGACCUCCAAAAGGGCUGGAUUAUACACAUAAGCCAUGUCACACUUUAUAUGUUUCUAGGGAAGCUUUUCUAAGAAUAAAUACAUUGGAACU
This 793-nucleotide long non-coding RNA is filed under the name Homo sapiens (human). Its description in RNAcentral is "HSALNT0396133". Lineage: Eukaryota; Metazoa; Chordata; Mammalia; Primates; Hominidae. The record is from RNAcentral.